This 253-nucleotide ribosomal RNA is filed under the name uncultured bacterium. RNAcentral describes it as "partial 16S ribosomal RNA". It matches the Rfam family "Archaeal small subunit ribosomal RNA", at positions 474 to 726 of the family's 1478-position model. The record is from RNAcentral.
UACCAGCACCCCGAGUGGUCGGGACGUUUUAUUGGGCCUAAAGCAUCCGUAGCCGGUUCUACAAGUCUUCCGUUAAAUCCACCUGCUUAACAGAUGGGCUGCGGAAGAUACUAUAGAGCUAGGAGGCGGGAGAGGCAAGCGGUACUCGAUGGGUAGGGGUAAAAUCCGUUGAUCCAUUGAAGACCACCAGUGGCGAAGGCGGCUUGCCAGAACGCGCUCGACGGUGAGGGAUGAAGGCUGGGGGAGCAACCGG